This 950-nucleotide ribosomal RNA is filed under the name uncultured archaeon. RNAcentral describes it as "bacterial SSU rRNA". It matches the Rfam family "Archaeal small subunit ribosomal RNA", at positions 1 to 941 of the family's 1478-position model. The record is from RNAcentral.
UUCCGGUUGAUCCCGCCGGACCCGACUGCUAUUUGGGUGAGAAUAAGCCAUGCGAGUUGAAUGGGAUACCUAAAGUUCCCAUAGCAAACUGCUCAGUAACACAUGAUCAACUUACCCUAUAGAGAAAAAUAACCUCGGGAAACUGAGGAUAAUGUUUCAUAAUUGAAUUGGCUUGGAAAAGUUUUUCAAUGAAAAGGAUAAAAAAAAUGGUUUUUAUCUGCUAUAGGAUAGGAUCGUGUUCGAUUAUGGUUGUUGGUGAGAUAAUGGCUCACCAAGCCGAUAAUCGAUAGGGGCCGUGAGAGCGGGAGCCCCGAGAUGGGUACUGAGACAACGACCCAGGCCUUACGAGGCGCAGCAGGCGCGGAACCUCCGCAAUACACGAAAGUGUGACGGGGUUACCCAAAGUGUUCAAUAGAACUGUGGUAGGUGAGUAAUGUCCCCUACUAGAAAGGAGAGGGCAAGGCUGGUGCCAGCCGCCGCGGUAAAACCAGCUCUUCAAGUGGUCGGGAUAAUUAUUGGGCUUAAAGUGUCCGUAGCCGGUUUAGUAAGUUCCUGGUAAAAUCGGGUAGCUUAACUAUCUGCAUGCUAGGAAUACUGCUAUACUAGAGGGCGGGAGAGGUCUGAGGUACUACAGGGGUAGGGGUGAAAUCUUAUAAUCCUUGUAGGACCACCAGUGGCGAAGGCGUCAGACUGGAACGCGCCUGACGGUGAGGGACGAAAGCCAGGGGAGCGAACCGGAUUAGAUACCCGGGUAGUCCUGGCCGUAAACGAUGCAUACUAGGUGAUGGUACGGCCAUGAGCCGUAUCAGUGCCGUAGGGAAACCGUUAAGUGUGCCGCCUGGGAAGUACGGUCGCAAGGCUAAAACUUAAAGGAAUUGGCGGGGGAGCACCACAAGGGGUGAAGCCUGCGGUUCAAUUGGAUUCAACGCCGGGAAUCACUAGUGCGGCCG